GGCGGACGGGUGAGUAACGACGUAAAGAACUUGCCCUUUAGACUGGGAUAACAGAGGGAAACUUCUGAUAAUACUGGAUAAGUUAGUAUAUCGCAUGAUAUGCAAAUGAAAGCUACGGCACUAAAGGAGAGCUUUGCGUCCUAUUAGCUAGUUGGUAAGGUAAGAGCUUACCAAGGCGAUGAUAGGUAGCCGGCCUGAGAGGGUGGACGGCCACAAGGGGACUGAGAUACGGCCCUUACUCCUACGGGAGGCAGCAGC
This 258-nucleotide ribosomal RNA is filed under the name uncultured Leptotrichia sp. RNAcentral's name for it is "partial 16S ribosomal RNA". It matches the Rfam family "Bacterial small subunit ribosomal RNA", at positions 97 to 355 of the family's 1533-position model. The record is from RNAcentral. Lineage: Bacteria; Fusobacteriati; Fusobacteriota; Fusobacteriia; Fusobacteriales; Leptotrichiaceae.